This 468-nucleotide ribosomal RNA is filed under the name uncultured bacterium. RNAcentral describes it as "partial 16S ribosomal RNA". It matches the Rfam family "Bacterial small subunit ribosomal RNA", at positions 28 to 507 of the family's 1533-position model. The record is from RNAcentral.
GACGAACGCUGGCGGCGUGCUUAACACAUGCAAGUCGAACGGAAAGGCCCUGCUUUUGUGGGGUGCUCGAGUGGCGAACGGGUGAGUAACACGUGAGUAACCUGCCCUUGACUUUGGGAUAACUUCAGGAAACUGGGGCUAAUACCGGAUAGGAGCUCCUGCUGCAUGGUGGGGGUUGGAAAGUUUCGGCGGUUGGGGAUGGACUCGCGGCUUAUCAGCUUGUUGGUGGGGUAGUGGCUUACCAAGGCUUUGACGGGUAGCCGGCCUGAGAGGGUGACCGGCGACAAUGGGACUGAGAUACGGCCCAGACUCCUACGGGAGGCAGCAGUGGGGAAUAUUGCACAAUGGGCGGAAGCCUGAUGAAGCAACGCCGCGUGCGGGAUGAAGGCCUUCGGGUUGUAAACCGCAUUAGCCUGUGACGAAGCGUGAGUGACGGUAAUGGGUAAAGAAGCACCGGCUAACUACGUG